RNAcentral lists this long non-coding RNA (5536 nucleotides) under Astyanax mexicanus (Mexican tetra). RNAcentral's name for it is "lncRNA (ENSAMXG00005010480.1)". The record is from RNAcentral. Lineage: Eukaryota; Metazoa; Chordata; Actinopteri; Characiformes; Acestrorhamphidae.
AUAGCCAAUCAGGAUCCAGGGGGCGGGGUCAGUGUGUAAACAGGUGGUUUAGAAACUCUCAUCAGGUAUGCUGGCUGAGGGGAAAGGCUGGUUGUGAUUGGCUGGUGGGCAGACAGGUUUGGUGAGUGGAGUGAGCUCAGGUGAGAGUUCAGGUGAGAGUUCAGGUGUGUUGCUCAGGUGUGGAGCAGGGCGUGAGGAGGACAGAUGGCAGGUGAGGUGAGAGCUGGAGGGCAGGGUGAAGCCGGAGCCUCGGGGGAGAGCAGGCCAAGCAUCACACAGCGUCCGGGAGUUCUGAGGAGAGUGACUGUAAGCCCCUUUCACAGCAGAUACAAGGCUCUGGUCUCCUCCUCCUCCUCAGGAUCCGGUUCUUCUCCAGCAGCUGGUUUUAAACAGGAGAGUGACUUUCUCAUCCACCUGUCUGAUAAAACACCGCCCUCAGGAGACACGCCCACACAGAACGGGAUUAUCAGUAAAACCCUGAAUUCAUUCAGCUUCACUCCUCCGAACAAAGCUAAUGGACUCAAUGGAAGCUCAACCACUGUGGACCCCUUUUCUCCUCAAGGCAAAGAGAACAUGGCGGUGCCAAACGGUAGAGGAACCAAUGGCUGGCCUUCAGCAUCUUCUCCAGAAACACCAUCCACACCAAAUAACUGGGCGGUCUUCCCACCAUCUCCUGCUUUAGAUCAAGUCUCGGAUCCAUUCCAAGCCACGCCCCCUUCCUGGCUUUCAGACGCCCCUAAGAGUUGGUCAACCAAUCACACCAAGGAUAUUUUACAACCUUCCAAAGCCAAUGAGGAAAAUGGCAUCUCCAGGAGCAUGGUGUCCAAUGGGGUGCAAGCUGCAUCUACCAGUUAUUCAUCAGAUCCAUUCCAAGCCACGCCUCCAUCCUGGCUUUCGGACGUCCCCAAGAUUGGUCCAUCCAAUCAGACCACUGAUAUUUUCCAAUCUUCCAAAGCCAAUGAGCAAAAUGGCAGCUCAAAGAGCAUGGUGACCAAUGGGGUUCAAGCUGCAUCUACUAGUUAUUUAUCAGAUCCAUUCCAAGCCACGCCCCCUUCCUGGCUUUCAGACGUCCCCAAGAUUGGGUCAACCAAUCACACCAAGGAUAUUUUCCAAUCUUCCAAAGCCAAUGAGGAAAAUCGCAUCUCAAGGAGUGUAAUGGUCAACAAGCUCCAAGACACUUCCACCAAUUCUAAAUCUGAUCUAUUUGAAGCCACGCCUCCUUCCUGGCUUUCAGACGUCCCCAAGAUUGAGCCCACCAAUCACACCAAGGAUAUUUUCCAAUCUUUGAAAGCCAUUAAGGAAAAUGGCAUCUCCAGGAGCAUGGUGACCAAUGGGGUUCAAGCUGCAUUUACCAGUUAUUCAUCUGAUCCAUUCCAAGCCACGCCCCCUUCCUGGCUUUCAGAUGUCCCCAAGAUUGAGCCAGCCAAUCACACCGAAGAUAUUUUCCAAUCUUCCACAGCCAAUGAGAAAAAUGGCGUCUCCAAGAGCAUGGUGGCCAAAGAGGCAUCAAACGAGAGGGAUUAUCUCCUGGAAUACAUUCUGGCCAAUCAGAAACAUGAAGAUCCUCAGCCCUCGCCUCCUUCAACUGUAGCGUCUGAUGGGUCAUCAAGCUUCUUCCCGCCUCCCGUCAUCACCGAGGACUCGAUCUUCUCCACCCCCUUUUCCACUGCAGAGAAUGGAAUUUUCCAAAGUACACCAUUAUUUCAGACACCAACGUUUGAUCCAUUCUCUGAUGAUCCCGCUGUAAACGGUGAUCUGUUUAAACCCCAAAAAAGCCCAUUUGAUGAUUUGUUCGCUACUCCUGCUGGGAAUCCCAAUGCUAACACACCUGAAACAUUCCAGGAGAAUUCCUCAGGUGUGUCUCCAGUUAAUGGUGGACUGAUGUUCAGAAGACGUCCUCCUGUUCCAGCUCCACGCAGACCUCUUAAGAAGCCCAGUCAGACUGUGGAGAAUCAAUCUUUAUCAAAAACGGCUCCAAGUGAUCCUCCUCAGACUCCGGUUAUACACCUCCAGUCUCCGCCCACUUCUCCUGUAGCUCCUCCCACUGCCUCGCCAUUUUCUACAACCAGCACUAAGAAUUUGGCACCAGCUGAAGAGGAAAAUAAUAAUCAGGUCUAUGAGGAUGUUCUUCUGAUUGGCCAGGAGAAGUGUGUGGAGGAUUGGCCCGAGGACAGCCCUGAACUCUCCUCUGAUUGGAAGCCUGCUGGAAAAUUAAGACUGAGGAGGGAUUCUGUGAAGGUUACCACAGAAACUGAAGAAACUCUUGGGAAGAAACAUGGAAUAUCUAAACUGAGCAAGAGGUUUUCGAUCAUUUCUAGACGAGGGUCGAAGGAGAAGUUUGGAGAUGAGCUGAAGGUGGCGCAGACAGCUACGCUCGGCAGAGAGGCAGCGGAAAAAAGAACUCCAGACAGUGUGAACGGAGGCUAUGGAGGAACCUUGCCCUGGGGGACGAAGGUGAUUUUAAAAACUUUCUCUUGUAUAAUAAACUGUAAAUCUACAGUAAUGUUAAAAUUAGAAAUUAAACAUAUAUAUUUUUUAAAUCUAAUAACGCAUACAUUUAACUGUUCCAAAAUGUGCUGGUCAAACUCAGGCAGCUUUACUUUUUUUUUUUUUACAGGGUUUCUAAUCUGAAUAUGGUUAUAAAACUCAUGUAACAUUUUAAAAAGCCUGUUUAAAAGCCAAAAGUCCACUAAUUCUUUUAAUUUCCUCUCUAGAAAGUCUUCAUUUUAAAGAAAUGGUCGACUGCAUGUUCAAACUAUUGAUAUUUAUGACCAAAAAAAAAUCACUCCUGUUACUUUUUUAUGUUUUGAGUAACAGGACUGAAAGUAGCAGGAAUUAGUUUUUAGCAUAGAAUUAGCAAAAACAAAUAGCUAAACAGCGGCUAAUAUGCUAAUAGCAUGAGAAAAGUGAGCACAUUCUAGUGAUUUUCCCCAAAAUUUCUAUUUAUAAAAUAACCCAAAAAUAUGUAAGAAUGAAUUUCGGUAACAGGACUGAGUGUUGAGAUUGAGCUUCUCAGUCAUCGUUACAAUAAGAUCAAAUAUACUGUGGCGUCUGUGUGUGUGUGCGUGUGUGGCUGCUGUAUGCCUGUGUGUGCCUGUCUCUGUGUGCCCGCCUCUGUGUGUGUGUGUGUGUGUGUNNNNNNNNNNNNNNNNNNNNNNNNNNNNNNNNNNNNNNNNNNNNNNNNNNNNNNNNNNNNNNNNNNNNNNNNNNNNNNNNNNNNNNNNNNNNNNNNNNNNGGCCGGUUCCUCUCUACUGCACGGGUCUAAGGAUGGUCUGCUGGCGGAAGCGUCCGAGCUGCAGGGUGGAGAGAAGGUGAGGAACGGAGAGGUGAUGAAGGAGCCGGAGAUGAAGGACUGCAGACCAAAGCAACCAAUGAAGUUAAAGCCCUCUGUUCCCCAACGCCCAUCAAAGAGUGUUUUUGAAGAGAACCAGAAGAAGAUGAAUGAUUUCCCAUUUUCAGAAGAAUCGAAGGAAGACACAUUUAUGAAAACUAAUGCUGAGAGAAGUCCAUUUUCUACAGACUUACUGGAUUCAAGUCUGAAAGAGCCAGAAGGUGCGACUGGAUUCACUCCUUCAUGGGAAUCGCAGGUGGGUUAUCAGGAUGAUCAAUACUCUCCUGGUGAUGUGGACCAGUUCACCACCAGUUUAGAGAACAGGCUGGAGGUGCAGGACUCUCGACCAAAGAAACCUCUAAAACUCAGAUUUCCACGUUUACCUCGGAGAGGAUCGAAGAGCACAACAGAUGAAAUCCCACAGAAAGGAGCAGACUUAUUUAAAGCCAGUGACGCCUGGAGCUCUGACCUCAACAGUCCUGAUGGAUAUAGUGAGCAUAGAAAGCCACCUAUUCUAGUGGUUCCUCCACUCUCCAGAAGAGACUCAGAGGGCAUGAGGGAAUCAGAAACCCCAGAUACAGGAGCAGAUCUGUUUAAAGCAGAGGAUUAUACUGAUGCUGAAAACUACAUGGAGGAGUACAGUCCGGACUCAAAGCCCCAUAAAUCCACAAAAUCACACCCUGCGAGCCGAGACGCAAAGGCUCGAGACGAGGCAACCUUUCCUGAAGACCUCGAUCCACCAGGAGCAACAUCUGGUAACUACUUCCUCUCAGAGGCAGCAAAGGCUGAAUGGAUGUCCUCACAGAUGGACGUGAGAAGAUCGAGAGACCCUGAUGAAGAGGAGAGACUGGAGGGAGUGGAGGAGGAAGAGGAAGGGGACACGGACAGUCUGAUGGAGUGGUGGAACACGGUGGAACUGUGGGACGAGCUUCCGUCAGAUGAGGACAUCAGCCUUAAAGAGGACGAAACUAAAUCUUUCACUGAAAUAGCUGGGAAGGUUCACCGCGGGCUCCGAGUCUUCUAUAAGGUCUUCACUGAACAGGCUGAAGUUCUCUACCAGCACGUCCUGCUCCUCUACGCCAUCGCCGAUGACCUCAGCAACUUCCACCGCCGCGCCAAAAUCGCCAACAUCACAGGCGGCACCACCACGGCUGUGGGUGGCGUGGCGGCCAUCGCCGGACUGGCGUUAGCUCCAGUAACGUUCGGGGCUUCGCUCAUCGUUUCCGCUGUUGGUCUGGGAGUCGCUACGGCCGGAGGAAUCACCGCGGCUUCAGCAGCUAUUUCAGACAACGUUCACGACAUGAACGACCGUAAGAAGAUCGAGCUCGUGGUGCAGGACUACGAGACCCAUCUGACGGAACUGCAGAGCUGCCUGAGGUUCAUUUCGGAGGGAAUCCGUCGGCUGCGCUGCCACCCGCUGCUGCGGAGGAACAACUACUACGCCGGGGACUGGGAGGUGCGCCGGGCGCUGCAGACCGUCAGCCUGGUCAGUGAACCUGUGGAGCGCGCCGAGGACAUAGUGGCCAACGCCAUGGCCGCCCUGAACAGCGUGUGUAAAGGCAUGGACAAGUACUUCACCAAGGACUCCAGGGAGCUGAGGAAGGGCUGUAAGAAGGAGGUGACCAUGCGAGUGCGGAUGUUGGCCAAGCAACUGCACGAGGGCCUAGUGGAGCUCAACUCCAUCAGGGAACAGCUGCUGGACGCGAGUGGAAACAUCUAGAACGUCUCGCUCGGGCUUCAAGCAUGUGGACGUUCCUACAUUCCUGUGAUGCCAGGAAAGCUGUAGAACUGGAGCAACCAGGGAUAUGACUUUUUGUUUUUCUUCCCUUCCAGUGUUCGUCUCAUCUCAUAAAAAUUAAACUAAAAAAACAAUAAUAAUAUUAAUAAUAAUGAUAUAUUUGACUAGCCUCUUAAGUCCAAUUUAGCCUUAGUUUAGGCUGAAUAGUAUUUUACCAUAUAUUUCGCACUAUAACGUCACCAGAUUAUAAGGCGCAUUUUAUGCGACACUAGUAAGGAACAGGGGUGUCGCCAUGUUUUCCUACUUAUUCAGCUUAUUCUCGCCGCUGGGUGCAAGAGAGCUGUAAAGCUAAAGCUAAGCUAAGUCAAACAAGUGCUCGAUAUAAAUCUAUACGGAUUUAUCUUCUGAAAACUGUUUAUUUGGGUGAGUAAAUAAACGAAAGUGCAUUACAGUAAGAUUAGAUCUC